RNAcentral lists this ribosomal RNA (771 nucleotides) under uncultured Alteromonas sp. Its description in RNAcentral is "bacterial SSU rRNA". It matches the Rfam family "Bacterial small subunit ribosomal RNA", at positions 69 to 837 of the family's 1533-position model. The record is from RNAcentral. Lineage: Bacteria; Pseudomonadati; Pseudomonadota; Gammaproteobacteria; Alteromonadales; Alteromonadaceae.
GUAACAUUUCUAGCUUGCUAGAAGAUGACGAGUGGCGGACGGGUGAAUAAUGCUUGGGAACUUGCCUUUGCGAGGGGGAUAACAGUUGGAAACGACUGCUAAUACCGCAUAAUGUCUUCGGACCAAACGGGGCUUAGGCUCCGGCGCAAAGAGAGGCCCAAGUGAGAUUAGCUAGUUGGUAAGGUAACGGCUUACCAAGGCGACGAUCUCUAGCUGUUCUGAGAGGAAGAUCAGCCACACUGGGACUGAGACACGGCCCAGACUCCUACGGGAGGCAGCAGUGGGGAAUAUUGCACAAUGGGGGAAACCCUGAUGCAGCCAUGCCGCGUGUGUGAAGAAGGCCUUCGGGUUGUAAAGCACUUUCAGUUGUGAGGAAAAGUUAGUAGUUAAUACCUGCUAGCCGUGACGUUAACAACAGAAGAAGCACCGGCUAACUCCGUGCCAGCAGCCGCGGUAAUACGGAGGGUGCGAGCGUUAAUCGGAAUUACUGGGCGUAAAGCGCACGCAGGCGGUUUGUUAAGCUAGAUGUGAAAGCCCCGGGCUCAACCUGGGAUGGUCAUUUAGAACUGGCAGACUAGAGUCUUGGAGAGGGGAGUGGAAUUCCAGGUGUAGCGGUGAAAUGCGUAGAUAUCUGGAGGAACAUCAGUGGCGAAGGCGACUCCCUGGCCAAAGACUGACGCUCAUGUGCGAAAGUGUGGGUAGCGAACAGGAUUAGAUACCCUGGUAGUCCACACCGUAAACGCUGUCUACUAGCUGUGUGUGUCUUUAAGA